Molecule: ribosomal RNA, 162 nt
Filed under: uncultured bacterium
Lineage: Bacteria
Description: partial 16S ribosomal RNA
Rfam family: Bacterial small subunit ribosomal RNA
Source: RNAcentral
UAGGGAAUAUCUUCGGCAAUGGGGGCAACCCUGACCGAGCAACGCCGCGUGAGUGAAGAAGGUUUUCGGUCGUAAAGCUCUGUUGUAAGAGAAGAACGUGUGUGAGAGUGGAAAGUUCACACAGUGACGGUAACUUACCAGAAAGGGACGGCUAACUACGUG